GUCAUUUGAGGCCAUGAAGCAAGACAUUAAGCUUAUAGAAUCAAAUGGAAAAGAAAAGGACAUGGAGAUUGUUACAUUGCGCCGGAACAUUGCCUUGCUUCAUGAAGCCUGCACCAGAUCACUCAUGGAAAUUGAAAAUAGAAAAGCUGAAGUUGUCGCAAAGAGUUUGGCUGCUCGAAAUCUGGGGAUAAAUUUGAAACCAGCAACUUAUGGUGAUGGUGGGCUUCCCUUUGGUGGAGAGAGUUAUUUUUCAUCCGAGGAACAUGUCAAGACUACGGCAGAAAAAUUGUUAUUGGCCGUGAAAGAUCUUUCUAGCUUAAAAGGUGAGAUUAUAGAGGGUAACGAGAAGGAAAUGAAAAUUACCAUAUCAAAUUUGCAGAAGGAGCUUCAGGAGAAGGAUAUUCAAAGAGAGAGAAUUUGCAAGGAUCUUGUCAGUCAAAUUAAGCAAGUGGAAGCUGCUGCAACAAACUACUCCCUUGACCUUCAAUCUUCAAAAUCUCAU
This 502-nucleotide unclassified non-coding RNA is filed under the name Hevea brasiliensis (rubber tree). Lineage: Eukaryota; Viridiplantae; Streptophyta; Magnoliopsida; Malpighiales; Euphorbiaceae. The record is from RNAcentral.